Haliaeetus leucocephalus (bald eagle) is the source of this 3710-nucleotide long non-coding RNA. RefSeq lists it as uncharacterized. The record is from RefSeq and is a predicted model, not a curated record. NCBI's taxonomy places the organism in Eukaryota, Metazoa, Chordata, Aves, Accipitriformes, Accipitridae. The transcript is spliced from 4 exons.
ACUCCACCAGUUUCUGGAUUAUUUUAGUUUUGUUACAAUUCUGAUCAUGCAUCAUAGGACUGCAACAAUGAGCUUUAAAUAAGUAUUCUUUGUGCACAGUAAAAUAGAAAGAAAGGAACAUUUAACAAGUUAGCAUUUCAUCAUAUACAUCAGAUAGUAGGCACAAUAGAUAAAUCAAGCAGCUUGGGUUUUAUGUAGCGCAUUUUCAUGAAGAAUGUCAUGUAGACCAAAAUGUAAGAGGAGCUAUUAGUAACCCACCCCCACACCCUCCAACAAACCUUUUAUUGGGGGUAAGGAGGUGGGUAUGUGCACAGAACCAAAAACACUGAACAGUAGGAGGACAAAUUAAGUUACUGUAGGCAGCAGUGUGAAUAUUAAAAACCUCUUCCUGUGAAAGAAUACUUCAGACCCUGUAAAAACUGGUUCAGUUAAAAAUAGAUGUAUUUACAUUUAAGUCUGAUCUAGCAAGUUUUCCCAGCAGGUGUAUGUUAAGAUGUACAGUAACUCUGCAGGUUGUACUCAAUCUGACUUGAUUUGUGAAUGUUUUUUUUUUUUUUAAAGUUGCAGCUAUUAGGCCUUAAAGCACCAGCAUAUUACAGCGGUGGGAUGAGUAAUUGUCUCCGUCUGCUUUGCUACCAGUACACUGCUGGGAUAAAUCCCAAACCUGUCAUUAGAUCACACUGUUGUUAAUUAAGAUGAUGGUUUUUUCCAGCUCAAGAUGUGUGGGUCAUUUACCAGGGCAAGAUUGUUUUCCCAGAUACUCACACGUGUCUCACCUCUGCCCGUAUCACUAGGGCAGAAUUUAGCUGUAGGUGUUUGCAGCUGACUGCUGCUCUAGUAAAAUAUUUGGACAAAUCCACCUGUUUUAGUUCACAUGAACAUGCUUUGUUUUUGUGAAGCCACUUAUGCUACUUGUUCAGGGAAUAACGACUAUUAAAAUGCUAAAUAUUUGUCAAGGUUAGCUCUUUGGUAAGCUUUGACACCUAUAGAUUACACAGCCUCUAAUGCUGGGUGCAAUGGUAGGAUGGCUCAGUGUUACUCUAUAUAGAAGGAAGCGUUCAUUUCACCAUGCCAGUCAAGAUAGUUAUUUGUUUUAUUUGGUUAUUGUUCAACAACAAAGUUCAAUACUUUCCAGGUGGAGCUUUGAACUGUCCCUCUGGUUCCCUCCCUUGUCAAUAAUAAAAAGGUAAUGAAGAAAAAUCCUGUACUUUUAGAGACCUAAAACCUCAUUUAUGCUAACAAGCUUCAAUUGCAAUUUAAUGUUACAAUAUUUCUUCAUGGGAGCGAGGAGGACUAAGCUGAGGCCCCUCCAGUGUCUGAAGAUGGCUGUCCACAACCACCAUUAAAACAAAAAGCUAGUGUUGAAAAACGCACAGUUUACAAUAAAAAAGUAGAAACCAAUUCAAUUCCCUUUUGUUACGAAUAUAAAGUUUCUUGUAAAUAUGUACAGUCCUUUGAGCUAUUUCUAUAGCAGGAAGCAUUUCACGAACAAGACAAGAUAUACACUUUCAGGACUCAACAAGCCCAUUUCUGAGGUCUUGAAGAUCUUCCAUGAGAUGCAAAGAUUUAAAGACUGAUCUCAGUGACCUUUCAAAAUAUCCAGACCAGGAGACAAAAACUUUCAGCAAGUUUCCUGCCAAAUCAUCUGACCUAAAAUAACCUAACAGACGAGAACGGAAUACAAUAUUCAUGAAACUCGCCAAAGGACACUGACAAGGCAUUUGAAUUUUUAUGGGUUUCUAGAACAGGUUAGCACAGGCUUGCGAGGGACUAGCAGAAGUUUAAGAGUGUGGCCAAGGGAAGACUGGAUGCAGUUUUGCUCUUUCCAGUUGUAAAGAACAUGGUUGUUCACUUAGAAUGUUGCUAUUGCAGAUUGAAUGGUCAAAACCUGCUUUGAAAAUCAUUUGCUCUCUGCUUCAUGUUCACAGCAAAAGAGAAUAGAAAGCAAUAAAUGGCUCGAGGUUAGAUACGCAGAAGCAAAGGUGAAGGUGUGUUCAGUAACCGCUAAAGCUGUUCAUUGUGAGUAUCCUCUUGUGCCAUGACAUUUGGUUCUUAUUGUACGACAAGUUACAGAUCACGGGAAGAGCCAGGCCUGGGCUGCUCUUCUCUCUGGGGGAUGCGAGACUGUCGGGACUACGGUGUCAUUUCCGAAGGGACCGUGUUCAACGCUGAGAGGAGAACACAAGCGUGACUGUAAUUCUUGUCAUAGAAUAAGGCUUGUUAACUCUUCGUUGCCAAAUUUCCAGAGUAUUUAACGGUUAUUUUGCAGCGUAAUCUAAAGGUUUCAGUUAAUUUACAAGUGAGGUACAAUACACUACUCAGCAAAGCAACCUAAAAGGAGAGAGCAGCCAGUGAUGGUGCAGCAGCAUGCAGUGAACUGUCAUGCAGAAGACCUGGAUAAAGUCUUACACCCCAGUAGCUUAUAGGUAAUGCACUUUGUCUCAGGGCCGGGCACAUGGGAUCGUUUAAAGCAGGGUUCUUCCCUCCCCAUCAGAGCUGCUCUAGAGCAAUUUUAGUGAGAACAAAAUAACUUUCAGAAGUGGCAGGUGAACAGACUAAUCAGAAGUAAUUUUUCUUGUGUUCUGUAGAGAAUAUCCAAUCACACCUUCUAUUGAAAGACUCACUCACCUUGGCCCUUCUGGUUCCAGGCCACCAGGCAUUCCCAGCGUGUUUCAGAACUAUCAUCAAUUAUCUGGUCAAGAUGAGUAACUUUGUCUAGCUGAGACUUACACCGAAGACUGGUCCCAGACCUGGCAGGGAAAUAAAAUGACAGUUACAAGUCGCACAUAUUUUUUUCUCACAUACGCACAGGUGCCAGCAGCAGUACAUCACCUAACUACUGCUGCUACCGCUGAGUGCUGUAUGCUUGCUUGCUUCUAGGUGGCAUAAUUCUUAAAGCACUGACAAAGGCAAGCACUGUCAGCAUCACUCUGAACACAGCAGGCUCCCACAUUCCUUCCUCCAGACAUUGUCCCCCUUCGAGGUCUCAGCAACUUGACUUCUGUUGGUAAAUGCACCUUUGCUUUCAGAUCUGGAGGACUUUGUUCCGGAGUCAAGCUGCUUUUGCAGUUACAGAACUAGCACAAGGGAAGGUGUUCAUAGGGCCAGUGAGUUACACCAUACGUGCUCUGUUUCAAUAGAAGUUGAGGGGCCGGGGGGUGAAGUUUGAUUUGCUCUUGUACUUUACAGUACCACCAGCCCUUCUGCAGUACAUGCCUUUUCCUGAGAACAGAAAAGUUCUCCAGGCUCCUGACUUACCUUAUUGACUUGAGCAAGAGGAGUUCUGGCACCACUCACAGGCAUUCGUCCUCGGCUGCUCUCUUCGAACAGUCUUCCAGGGGACCUUUCUCUGCGGGUGCUCAGAAGCCGGCCUGGAGAUUUCUCCCUCUCCAGCGGUCGCCCAGGCACACAAGCCUACGCAUGGCACCUGAUCCACAGGGACGGAGAACUUUUAAGCCAGAAGCAAGCUGACCAAACACACCUCAGCAGACUGGAUCAGUACUAGAAAGUCAACUCUGUUCAGCUUUCGUUUACAACUGUACUUGGGUACAUUCUGACUGUUCACGUACCAGAGAGCAGUUGUAGUGCAACAACUGUACAACCAUGCCACACACUUACCAUGGAAACAUAGCAGAUACUCCUCCCUCUGCCCUGUUGGGUUCACUUGGAUGAUACUGACUGGAAAACUGUUGGUAGAAGCAGCAAACACG